UCUUUGAUACACAGAAGUUUGAAUGUCAUCUAUCUAGGGAGCAGCUGGAUAGCAAAGCCUCAAGCCCAUGGAAAACAUUUAUAAACCUCCAUGACAAGCCAUCUCCACAAACCCCGAAAUAGAACUGGUGACAAAUCCCCAACAGCUACAAGACCUGCAUGGUAGUAACAUCUGUGUGAAAAGAAGACAGAAGUAAUGGGGCAGUGUCAAUGAAGGAUCUGAGAAGAGAGAAUUCCAAAGAGCUGACAAUAGUUCACCGGCAAGCACAGUGGACAUCUUUGGAAACAGCUGAUGAAACUGGGAGGGGCUUUGUUCAGCCCAGUGUUGGGUGACUGCGAGGAGUGCCUGGUAGACUAUGAAGGGGCUGGCAUUGUCCAGACCCUGUGAACUUUGAAAAGGACCUGCACAGGUUUGUUUCUAGGGCAGAGUCCCACAUUGAGGAGAGAUUGCCAGGAGUGGAGGCAAAAUUGAGCCGGGCGGGGGCAACAUGGAUGAAGAAAGAGAGGGCCAGGUAAAAGUAGGGCAAUGAGAAUAGAGCCGGGACAUUUUAAGGGACUAUUUUAUUUUUAAAUAAUGCAUAAAACCAUGGACUAUGGGGCAGUUUGAACUUAUACAGUUUAUCAUGAACGAUGUUUCCUUCUAAAAAUUCAGGAAAACAAAAUUCACAUAAAAUUAGUAUAGGAAAAGAUCACAGUCAAAUGUCAUUUAAAGUUAUUAUUCAAAAACAUAAAGAAAAUGUGAUACACAUACGCCAUGGAAUACAAUGUAACCAUAAAAAGGAAUUAAAUCAUGUUGUUUGCAGCAAUGUGGAUGCAGCUGGAGGCCAUUAUCCUAAGGGAAUUAAUGCAGAAACAGAAAACCAAGUAUUGCGUGUUCUUACUUAUAAGUGGAAACUAAACAUUGGGUACG
Molecule: long non-coding RNA, 909 nt
Filed under: Homo sapiens (human)
Lineage: Eukaryota; Metazoa; Chordata; Mammalia; Primates; Hominidae
Description: HSALNT0208347
Source: RNAcentral